GCCUGGCUGGCUCAGUAGAGUAUGUGAUUCUUAAUCUCAGGGUUGUGAGUUCAAGCCUCACACUGGGUG
RNAcentral lists this transfer RNA (69 nucleotides) under Ailuropoda melanoleuca (giant panda). It matches the Rfam family "tRNA". From Rfam's summary of the family: Transfer RNA (tRNA) molecules are approximately 80 nucleotides in length. Their secondary structure includes four short double-helical elements and three loops (D, anti-codon, and T loops). Further hydrogen bonds mediate the characteristic L-shaped molecular structure. tRNAs have two regions of fundamental functional importance: the anti-codon, which is responsible for specific mRNA codon recognition, and the 3' end, to which the tRNAs corresponding amino acid is attached (by aminoacyl-tRNA synthetases). tRNAs cope with the degeneracy of the genetic code in two manners: having more than one tRNA (with a specific anti-codon) for a particular amino acid; and 'wobble' base-pairing, i.e. permitting non-standard base-pairing at the 3rd anti-codon position. The record is from Rfam by way of RNAcentral. Lineage: Eukaryota; Metazoa; Chordata; Mammalia; Carnivora; Ursidae.